CAACAAUAAUAUUAAUAAUCUUCUCCUUUUUGUUGUCCAAGAAAAGAAAUACUACAAGACAACAAAAGAAAAUCAUUAUGAACUCUCUUCCUUCCAGUACAUACAUAUACAAGGAUUAGAGAUAUCAACUUGUACAGGCACAGGGCACAUGUGUUUUGGGUCGACCACACCAUGCAUGAUCACCAACAAUUAUUUUCAAGAAUCUUCAUGCCCAAACGCUGCUGUGCAUAGCUCACCAGCUUUUCAAACUCUUUGGGGUUGUCUAUUUGGCCACUCUUAUUGCAAUCUGCUUGCUUCAUUCCUUGACGAGCCCUCCACCAUCCAAACCAAACCCUCAGGCUGUGGAGAGCUUCUUUCAGCUCUUCGCGGCUAAUUUGCCCGUUGUGAUCGCUGUCAAACCGGUGAAGCCAAGCUUUGAACUCAUCCACUGUCAUCUCCUGGUCAGGCUGCACCUGCAAACAACUUACUAUGGCCAUCAAUGAAUUUUUCUCUAAGCAGAUAAAAAUCUCUUCAAAGAAGAUAGAAAAUGGAAAUGUAGCUAGAUGGGCAAGCUUUGUUUGCUUCUCUU
This 568-nucleotide long non-coding RNA is filed under the name Prunus dulcis (almond). Its description in RNAcentral is "sRNA ncRNA". The record is from RNAcentral. Lineage: Eukaryota; Viridiplantae; Streptophyta; Magnoliopsida; Rosales; Rosaceae.